RNAcentral lists this ribosomal RNA (482 nucleotides) under uncultured bacterium. RNAcentral describes it as "partial 16S ribosomal RNA". It matches the Rfam family "Bacterial small subunit ribosomal RNA", at positions 30 to 507 of the family's 1533-position model. The record is from RNAcentral.
AUUGAACGCUGGCGGCAUGCUUUACACAUGCAAGUCGAACGGUAACAGGCCGCAAGGUGCUGACGAGUGGCGAACGGGUGAGUAAUGCAUCGGAACGUGCCCAGUCGUGGGGGAUAACUACUCGAAAGAGUAGCUAAUACCGCAUACGAUCUAUGGAUGGAAGCGGGGGACCGUAAGGCCUCGCGCGAUUGGAGCGGCCGAUGUCAGAUUAGGUAGUUGGUGGGGUAAAGGCUCACCAAGCCAACGAUCUGUAGCUGGUCUGAGAGGACGACCAGCCACACUGGGACUGAGACACGGCCCAGACUCCUACGGGAGGCAGCAGUGGGGAAUUUUGGACAAUGGGCGCAAGCCUGAUCCAGCAAUGCCGCGUGCAGGAAGAAGGCCUUCGGGUUGUAAACUGCUUUUGUACGGAACGAAACGGCUCUGGUUAGUACCCGGGGCUAAUGACGGUACCGUAAGAAUAAGCACCGGCUAACUACGUG